GAUGAACGCUGGCGGCGUGCCUAAUACAUGCAAGUCGAGCGAACAGACGCGGCGCUUGCUCCUCUCACGUUAGCGGCAGACGGGUGAGUCACACGUGGAUAACCUCCCUAUCAGACUGGGAUAACUUCGGGAAACCGGCGCUAAUCCCGGAUAAUCUCUUGAACCACGUGGUUCGAUGGUGAGUGACGGUUUUGCUGUCACUUAUCGCUGCUUCCGCGCCGCAUUAGCUAGUUGGUAAGGUAACGGCUUACCAAGGCAACGCUGCGUGGCCGACGUGAGGGGGUGAUCGGCCACACUGGAACGGGGACACGGUCCAUGCGCCUGCGGGAGGCAGCAGUAGGGUAUCUUCCGCAAUGGGCGAAAGCCUGACGGAGCAACGCCGCGUGAGUGAUGAAGGUCUUCGGAGCGUAAAACUCGGUUAUUAGGGAAGAACAAAUGUGUAAGUAACUAUGCACGUCUUGACGGUACCUAAUCAGAAAGCCACGGCUAACUACGUG
RNAcentral lists this ribosomal RNA (497 nucleotides) under uncultured bacterium. RNAcentral describes it as "partial 16S ribosomal RNA". It matches the Rfam family "Bacterial small subunit ribosomal RNA", at positions 28 to 507 of the family's 1533-position model. The record is from RNAcentral.